This 16000-nucleotide long non-coding RNA is filed under the name Citrus x clementina. RNAcentral's name for it is "Citrus clementina (C. clementina) long non-coding RNA (CCLE_LNC000251)". Lineage: Eukaryota; Viridiplantae; Streptophyta; Magnoliopsida; Sapindales; Rutaceae. The record is from RNAcentral.
CAUCAUUUUAAAUUAAAUGAUUCAAAUAAUUAUAAGAGUAUAAAAAUAAAAAUUGUAAUCAAAUCUCAAAUUUAUUUUUUAACCCCUUACUUCUCAAGAUUUAAACUUAGAUGACCAGUAAAAUAAAAUUGUAUGAAAACCACUUGGCAAUACACUUAGAAUUCACUUUACUUAAUUAAUUAUUUUUACAUAAUUACAACACAAAUAAAUUGAACAAGAAACUAUAAUCAAUUUCUAAUCUAUUUAAAUUUCUACCAUCUUCCCUUAGAAAAAAAGAUUUCUAGCAUACUUCAUAUUUAGUAAUAUACAACAUUAGUUAAAAAAAAAAAUUACCCACUAAAAAUGAAAACUCAGCUUCACUCCUAAAACCAAGUUUGAAGUUUGGAUCUUUUACGCGGUAAUUAGAGUAUCACCAAAAAAACUCUUCUAAUUUAACUUUUUAAAUUUUAUUUCCUUACCUAUGUGGCAAAUAGAAGAGUAAAAAAAUAAGUUAUCUACCAAAAUAUUUUUCAAAUAAAUAUAAGUUUAUGUUAUUUUAAUCAACAUUUUUUCUUUAUCAAAAUGAUGGCGAUUAAAACACUUUUCUCUCUUUAAGAUAAUGAGAUAAAAAUAAUAUAAUAUUAAAUUAAAAACUUUAAAAUACUCUGCAAAUAAUAUUUUUCAAAAAAGAUAAUGCUUAUCUCUCUUCAAUAUUAAAGAGAGAGAAAAACAAUCUCAUUUGAGGACCCAUCUACGUUGCAGAUUCUGUAAGUAACAACCUGUGAGUUUGACAUGAUGAUAUAUGUGUGCGUGGCACGUGGACGUCAGAUGGAAUGGGAGAUUAUAUAUGAAACUUGCCAUUCUGGUUUUUUUCCAGUGACAAAAUGAAAUCCUCCCAGUUGCUGACCGAUAACCCGUCACUCAAUUUGGACCAUGGGUGCUAUUUUCAAAUAUAUUAGGUUGAUGGGUCAUGUUUUGACAGUCCAAAUAUUUGCGGUUUGAUAUUGCAAAUAUGUGGGUGGUUCCAGGAUUUCAAUUUUGUAUUUGCACUUUGAUAUAGCAAGAGAGCCGACGUUGCAUCUCCUGCAACAGCAUGGUUUGAAAAUACCCAUCCAAUUUUUUUUGCCAUCGAAACGAUGUGUGGUCCAAUUUCAACAAUCGAUGCUGCCUAGAAGGUAGGCUCCUCGAUCCUCACAUCCGAUCGACAAUGGUUGGUCGUCGAUAUUGAUGUCCAGUUAGGCGCUGGUCAGGUUCGUAAGAUAAAGAUUAAAUACUAGGGUUUUGAAAUUUAGGUAUAGGCAUCUCGGUACAAAGGAAAUAUUGAAUUAAUAUUUUUUUUCAGUUAGAUAUGUUUUUACCGAAUAGAAUUGUAUUCUUUUGGGACUAGGUUUGGAUAAUUAAUUAGUUUGAUUAAUUAGAAUCAUAGUCCCAACGCUUGCCUGUAUACACUAAUUAAUCCUUUUGAUGGUCAAUUUCACUGUUCACAUGAACCUCCUGACUACUGUUGUCUGACCAUAUCAUUUUCUCUGCUACUGCAAUCUUGAAAGAUUGCUUACUCAUCUUUGAUUUGUAUUUUCAAAAAAUUUAUAGAGCAUGGUACUUAGGGGACGUAUAGAAAGUUAACGUUAUUGACAUUUAACGUUAUUGGCAUUUGGUUAAUAGAUCAUAGUCUUGUAUUUGUUUGUUUAAGUUAAGUUAGCGUUAAUGUAAAUCAACCAUAUGGUUUAGAAGUUGGAAGCCAAUACUUUGGUAAACAGACAAAUCGGUAAAUUAAGUUUAUGACAAUUAUUGUGGUAGACAAAUCGUGUCGUUUUAUGUGUUGUUCGACGGCAGGAUUUGGGGGGGGGGGGGAAAGAUAACAAGUCUGUUUUAUUCAUACUUGUGCAUUUUGAUUGGGGUUUUCUUGAAGAUCGAGAGAAUUAAAUACACUAAUGGAACGAAUUAAUAUAAUUUAAAUUUAAUUAGGCCUACUAUUUUUUUUUUCAUGUUUGUCUCAUGUUCUUGUAAUUUACAGUGAAUAUUGUUAAAUUUGUGGUCGAGUAGAGUACGUUGUUGAAGUUUUUACAAAGAUGCAUAGAAAGAACAAGUAUGCAUAAACUUUUAUAAAGGCUGGUAGUUAAGGUCUGUUGGCGGUUUUCGUUUCAUCUACCCGUAUAAAUACAACUGCUAUCUGUCAUAACAAAUUAGGUUUGUUAUUACGAAUCUACUAUUAUUUAUUUUAGAACAAUUAUGUUGUUUUGCUGAUGCAUUGUGAACAAAGUGGUUUUCCCUUGUAGUAGCCUGUACUUUGUAAAUACUUCAACUAUGAGGUAAUGAUCAGCUAGACGAGUGCAGUAAAUUGUAGGUUCCUGAGUUAUGAUAUAAAAUUUUUGUUUAUGUGAAGGUGAAUGUGAAUGUGAAUUAACUAAAAAGUAUUAUUGUUUUUGGUAAUUAUUUACUAAUGGCACUCAUUUUCAUCUUCGUUGAGGUUGUAAUUUUAAAGUAAUAUGGAUUGACAAAGAUGUCGGAUAAUAGAAAUUGAUUUGAGUCUAAGGGUUCAACACAUGCGACGAAAAAAUGCGUAAAGGUUAAAGGACGAAAUUGUAAGGGAGGACAAAUGAAAAUAGUAAUUGUUGGAUUGGUUAAAAUGAGAGUUAUUGUGGGCCGAAUGAGUUACGAAAUGAAAAUAUUUGGGUCGUUGAAAGGUGAAUGCUGAGUUAUAUUAAGAGUGGAGUGCUAGGAAAAUGAUUGUUAAAAGGCGAACAUGAAACAACGUGGCAAUGAAGAUCCGUGGUGUUAUAAUGCAUUGAUUCCUAUCAAACCUAAGAUUUUACACACUGUGACUCUCAGCAAAUGGGGGGAAAUGGAGUAAUUAUAUAGUUGUGCAAAGUGAAGAAAAAGACAAACGAAAAACGAUGUAAAUCUUAGACAUUCACACGUGGUUUAAUUUUCUUCCAUUUAAAAAAUGCUAGUCACAAAAUAAUGUAAUGACCCAACUCCAAGAGGAUAAUGAAGAAAGAAAAAUUACAGGGAAAAAGUGUAUGAAGUUACUAAUUUAAGUUAAAUCAUCCUGCACAUUUCAUCAUCCAUUUUAUUGAGAAGCAUUGAAUGGAAGUAAGAAAUGAAUCAGAAAAAGCAAACGCUUUUCACAGUUUAUAAUAACUGGCCGGUCAUACACAAGUGCUUAAAGUUGAGUGAUGAAGUUAUUUGUGGCUAGUAUUGGUCAAAACAUUAUUCAUUUAUAAGUAUGUAACAAUCUGUUGGAUUGGAACUGGUGUGGACUUGAAAUUCCAUUUAACUCCUUACGGUUCUUAACUGUAAUGGAUUAGGGCAUGAGUUUCAAUUAUAUUUAUCAUUUCUUAUGAGGGCAUCUCCCAUUAACAAAAGCUACUAUCUUGCUUUUAAAUGGAUUCUUAUUUUAAAAAAUGGGUACUUCUCUUACUGGACAAUUAAAGUUAGCAAAUAUUAGGUGAACAAUAUUACGUAUUUCGCUGACAUCAUCUUAUUUGCUCACCACUCCUGGCAUUUUUGGCGUACAAUGCUAGUCACAAAAAUAAUGUUAGUCAAUACAAUAAUUCAAUGACCUAACUCCAAGAGGAUAAUGAAGAAAGAAAAAUUGCAGGGAAAAAGUGUAUGAAGUUACUAAUUUGAGUUAAGUAAUCUUGCACAUUUCAUCAUCCAUUUUGUUGAGAAGCACCGAAUGGAAGUAAGAAAUGAAUCAGAAAAAGUAAACGUUUUUCACAGUUUAUAAUGACUGGCCGGUCAUACACACGUGCUUAAAGCUGAGUGAUGAAGUUAUUUGUGGCUAGCAUUGGUCAAAGCAUUAUUCAUUUAUAAGCAUGUAACAAUCUGUUGGAGUGGAACUGGUGUCAACUUGAAAUUUCAUUUAACUCCUUACGAUUCUUAACUGUAAUGGAUUAGGACAUGAGUUUCAAUGAUAUUUAUCAUUUCUUAUGAGGGCAUUUGCCACUAACAAAAGUCAAUAUGUUACUUUUAAAUAGAUCAUUAUUUGAAUAAAUGGGUACUUUCCUUGCUGGCUGGUUAAAGUGAGCAAAUAUUAGGUGAGCAACAUUACAUAUUACGCCGACAUCAUCUUACUUGCUCGCCACUCCUGGCAUCUUUGGUGUACAAUACUAGUCACAAAAAUAAUGCUAGCUACAAAAAUAAUACAAUGACCCAACUCCAAAAGGAUAAUGAAGGAAAAAAAAUUACAGUAUGAAGUUGCCAAUUUGAGUUAAGUCAUUCCGUACAUGUCAUCAUCUAUUUUGUUGGGAAGCACCAAAUGAACGUAAGAAAUGCACCGGAAAAACCAAACGUUUUUCACAGUUUAUAAUGAUUGGCCGGUUAUACACACAUGUUUAAAGUUGAGUGAUGAAAUUAUUUGCGACUAGCAUUGGUCAAAGCAUUAUUCAAUUAUAAGUAUGUAACAAUCUGUUGGAUUAGAACUGGUGUGAACUUGAAAUUUCAUUUAACUUCUUACGGUUCUUAACUGUAAUGGAUUAGGGCUUGAGUUUCAAUGACAUUUAUCAUUUCUUAUGAGGGCAUCUGCCACUAACAAAAGCUAAUAACUUAGUUUUAAAUGGAUCAUUAUUUGAAAAAAUGGGUACUUCCCUUACUGGUCAAUUAAAGUGAGCAAUAUUACGUAUUUCCCCGACACAUCUUAUUUGCUCACCACUCCUAGCAUCUUUGGUGUACAAUGCUAGUAUAAAAAAUAAUGCUAAUUACAAAAAUAAUACAAUGACCAAACUCCAAAAGAAUAAUGAAGGAAAACAAUUGCAGUAUGAAGUUGCCAAUUUGAGUUAAGUCAUUUUAUACAUGUCAUCAUCCAUUUUGUUGGGAAGCACUAAAUGGAAGUAAGAAAUGUACCAGAAAAACCAAACGAUUUUCACAGUUUAUAAUGAUUGGCCGAUUAUACACACGUGCUUAAAGUUGAGUGAUGAAGUUAUUUGCGGCUAGCAUUGGUCAAAUCAUUAUUCAAUUAUAAGUAUGUAACAAUCUGUUAGAUUGAAAUUGGUGUGAAAUUGAAAUUUCAUUUAACUUCUUAUGGUUCUUAAUUGUAAUGGAUUAAGGUUUGAGUUUCAAUGAUAUUUAUCAUUUCUUAAGAGGGCAUCUCCCACUAACAAAAGUUAAUAUUUUAGUUUUAAAUGGAUCAUUUUUAAAAAAAAUGGAUACUUCCCUUACUGGUCAGUUAAAGUGAGCAAAUAUUAGGUGAGUAAUAUUACAUAUUUCCCCGAGAUCUUAGACAUUCACACGUGGUUUAAUUUUCUUCCAUUUAAAAAAUGCUAGUCACAAAAUAAUGUAAUGACCCAACUCCAAGAGGAUAAUGAAGAAAGAAAAAUUACAGGGAAAAAGUGUAUGAAGUUACUAAUUUAAGUUAAAUCAUCCUGCACAUUUCAUCAUCCAUUUUAUUGAGAAGCAUUGAAUGGAAGUAAGAAAUGAAUCAGAAAAAGCAAACGCUUUUCACAGUUUAUAAUAACUGGCCGGUCAUACACAAGUGCUUAAAGUUGAGUGAUGAAGUUAUUUGUGGCUAGUAUUGGUCAAAACAUUAUUCAUUUAUAAGUAUGUAACAAUCUGUUGGAUUGGAACUGGUGUGGACUUGAAAUUCCAUUUAACUCCUUACGGUUCUUAACUGUAAUGGAUUAGGGCAUGAGUUUCAAUUAUAUUUAUCAUUUCUUAUGAGGGCAUCUCCCAUUAACAAAAGCUACUAUCUUGCUUUUAAAUGGAUUCUUAUUUUAAAAAAUGGGUACUUCUCUUACUGGACAAUUAAAGUUAGCAAAUAUUAGGUGAACAAUAUUACGUAUUUCGCUGACAUCAUCUUAUUUGCUCACCACUCCUGGCAUUUUUGGCGUACAAUGCUAGUCACAAAAAUAAUGUUAGUCAAUACAAUAAUUCAAUGACCCAACUCCAAGAGAAUAAUGACUGAACAAAAAAUUAAAGACGAUAAGUGUAUGAUGUUACCAAUUUGAGUUAAGUCACUUGCACACGUCAUCAUCUAUUUUGUUUGGAAGCACCGAAUGGAAGUGAAAAAUGAACACGAAAAACCAAACGUUUUUCAAAGUUUAUAAUGACUGGCCGGUCAUACACACGUGCUUAAAGCUGAGUGAUAAAGUUAUUUUUGGCUAGCAUUGGUCAAAGCAUUAUUCAUUGAUAAGCAUGUAACAAUAUGUUGGUGUGAAACUGAUGUGAACUUGAAAUUCCAUUUAACUCCAUACGGUUCUUAGCUGUAAUGGAUUAGGGCAUGAAUUUUAAUGAUAUUUAUCAUUUUUUAUGAGGGCAUCUGCCACUAACAAAAGUCAAUCAGUUACUUUUAAAUGGAUUCUUAUUUAAAGAAACGGGUACUUCCCUUGCUGGCCAAUUAAAGUUAACAAAUAUUAGGUGAGCAAUAUUACUUAUUUCGCUGACAUCAUCUUACUUGCUCACCACUCCUGGCAUAUUUAGCGUACAAUGCUAGUCACAAAAAUAAUGUUAGUCAACACAAUAAUUCAAUGACCCAACUUCAAGAGAAUAAUGAAGAAAAAAAAUUACAGGGAAAAAGUGUAUAAAGCUACUAAUUUGAGUUAAGUCAUCAUGCACAUGUCAUCAUCCAUUUUGUUGGGAAACACCGAAUGGAAGUAAGAAAUGAACAGGAAACACCAAACGUUUUUCACAGUUUAUAUUGACUGGCCGGUUAUACACACAUUCUUAAAGUUGAGUGAUGAAGUUAUUUUUUGCUAGCAUUAGUCAAAGCAUUAUUCAUUUAUAAGCAUGUAACAAUAUGUUUGAGUGGAACUGGUGUGAAUUUAAAAUUUCAUUUAAUUCUUUAUGGUUCUUAAUUGUAAUAGAUUAAGGCAUGAGUUUUAAUGAUAUUUAUCAUUUCUUAUGAGGGCAUCUGCCACUAACAAAAGUCAAUCUGUUACUUUUAAAAGGAUCCUUAUUUAAAGAAACGGGUACUUCCCUUAUUGGAUAGUUAAAGUUAGUAAAUAUUAGGUGAGCAAUAUUAUGUAUUUCGCAGACAUCAUCUUACUUGCUCACCACUCCUCGCUUAUUUAGCGUACAACACUAGUCACAAAAAUAAUGUUAGUCAACAUAAUAAUGCAAUGAUUCAACUCCAAGAGAAUAAUAACUGAAAAAAAUUAAAGACGAAUAGUGUAUUAAGUUACCAAUUUGAGUUAAAUCAUCCUGCACACGUCAUCAUCUAUUUUGUUGGGAAGCACCGAAUGGAAGUGAGAUAUGAAUCGGAAAAACCAAAUGUUUUUCACAGUUUAUAAUGACUGGCCGGUUAUACACAAGUGCUUAAAGUUGAGUGAUAAAGUUAUUUGUGGCUAGCAUUGGUCAAAACAUUACUCAUUUAUAAGAAUAUAACAAUCUGUUGGAGUGGAACUGGUGUGAACUUCAAAUUCCAUUUAACUCCUUACGGUUCUUAACUGUAAUGGAUUAGUGCUUUUAUUUCAAUCAUAUUUAUCAUUUCUUAUUAGUGCAUCUGCCACUAACAAAAGUCAAUCUGUUACUUUUAAAUGAAUCCUUAUUUAAAGAAACGGGCACUUCCCUUAUUGGAUAGUUAAAGUUAGCCAAUAUUAGGUGGGCAAUAUUACGUAUUUCGCUGACAUUAUCUUACUUGCUCACCACUCCUAGCAUACUUAGCGUACAACGCUAGUCACAAAAAUAAUCUUAGUCAACAUAAUAAUGUAAUGACCCAACUCCAAGAGAAUAAUGACUGAAGAAAAAUUGAAGACGAAUAGAGUAUGAAGUUACCAAUUUGAGUUAAGUCAUCAUGCACACGUCAUCAUCUAUUUUGUUGGGAAACACUGAAUGAAAGUGAGAUAUGAAUAGGAAAAACCAAACGUUUUUCACAGUUUAUAAUGACUGGCCAGUUAUACACACGUGCUUAAAGCUGAGUGAUGAAGUUAUUUGUGGCUAGCAUUGGUCAAAGCAUUACUCAUUUAUAAGCUUAUAACAAUCUGUUAGAGUGGAAUUGGUGUGAACUUGAAAUUUCAUUUAACUCCUUACGGUUCUUAACUGUAGUGGAUUAGAACAUGAGUUUCAAUGAUAUUUACCAUUUCUUAUUAGUGCAUCUGCCACUAACAAAAGUCAAUCUGUUACUUUUAAAAGGAUCCUUAUUUAAAGAAACGUGUACUUCCCUUGCUGGAUAGUUAAAGUUAGCAAAUAUUAUGUGAGCAAUAUUAUGUAUUUCGCCGACAUCAUCUUACUUGCUCACCACUCCUCGCUUAUCUAGCGUACAACGCUAGUAACAAAAAUAAUGUUAGUCAACAUAAUAAUGCAAUGAUCCAACUCCAAGAGAAUAUUGACUGAAGAAAAAUUGAAGACGAAAAGUGUAUGAAGUUACCAAUAUGAGUUAAGUCGUCUUGCACAUGUCAUCAUAUAUUUUGUUGGGAAGCACCAAAUGGAAAUGAGAUAUGAACAGGAAAAACCAAACGUUUUUCACAGUUUAUAAUGACUGGCCGGUUAUACACAUGUGCUUAAAGUUGAGUGAUGAAGUUAUUUGUGGCUAGCAUUGGUCAAAGCAUUACUCAUUUAUAAGCAUGUAACAAUCUGUUGGAGUGGAACUAGUGUGAACUUCAAAUUCCAUUUAACUCCUUACUGUUCUUCACUGUAAUAAAUUAGUGCAUGAGUUUCAAUGAUAUUUAUCAUUUCUGAUGAAAGCAUCUGCCACUAACAAAACUCAAUCUAUUACUUUUAAAUGGAUCCUUAUUUAAAGAAGCGGGUAAUUCCCUUGCUGGCCGGUUAAACUUAGCAAAUAUUAGGUGAGCAAUAUUACGUACUUCGCCAACAUAAUCUUACUUGCUCCCCACUUCUGGCAUUUUUAGCGCACAACGCUAGUCACCAAAAUAAUGUUAGUCAACAUAAUAAUGCAAUGAUCAACCUCCAAGAGAAUAAUGACUGAAGAAAAAUUGAAGAUGAAAAGUGUAUAAAGUUACAAAUUUGAGUUAAGUCAUCAUUCACACGUCAUCAUGCACACGUCAUCAUCUGCCACUAACAAAAGUCAAUCUGUUACUUUUAAAUGGAUCCUUAUUUAAAGAAAUGGGUACUUCUCUUACUGGCCGGUUAAAGUUAGCAAAUAUUAUGUGAGAAAUAUUACGUAUUUCGCCGACAUCAUCUUACUUACUCACCACUCCUGGCAUCUUUAGCGUACACGCUAGUCACAAAAAUAAUAUUAGUCAUCAUAAUAAUUCAAUGACCCAACUCCAAGAGAAUAAUUACUGAAGAAAAAUUGAAGAUGAAAAGUGUAUGACUGGCCGGUUAUACACACGUGCUUAAAGCUGAGUGAUGAAGUUAUUUGUAGAUAACAUUGGUCAAAGCAUUAUUCAUUUAUAAGCAUGUAACAAUCUGUUAGAGUGGAAUGGGUGUGAACUUAAAAUUCCAUUUAACUCCUUACGACUCUUAACUGUAAUAGAUUAGGGCAUGAGUUUCAAUGAUAUUUAUCAUUUCUCGUUAGGGCAUCUCCCACUAACAAAAGUCAAUUUGUUACUUUUAAAUGGAUCAUUAUUUAAAGAAACGGGUACAUCUCUUACUAGCCGGUUAAAGUGAGUAUAUAUUAGGUAAGCAAUAUUACUUAUUUGGUCGUCAUCAUUUUACUUGAUCACCACUCCUGGCAUCUUUGGUGUACAAUGAUAGCGUCAAAAAUAAUGUUAGUCAACAUAAUAAUGCAAUGACCCAACUCCAAGAGGAUAAUAAAGAACGAAAAAUUACAGGGAAAAAAUGUAUGAAGUUACUAAUUUGAGUUAACUCAUCUUGAAUAUUUCAUCAUCUGCCACUAACAAAAGACAAUCUGUUACUUUUAUAUGGAUCCUUAUUUAAAGAAACGGGUACUUCCCUUACUGGGCUGUUAAAGUUAGCAAAUAUUAGGUGAACAAUAUUACGUAUUUCACCGAUAUCAUCUUACUUGCUCACAACUCAUGGCAUCUUUAGCGUACACGCUAAUCACAAAAAUAAUAUUAGUCAACAUAAUAAUUCAAUGACCCAACUCCAAAAGAAUAAUGACUGAAGAAAAAUUGAAGUCGAAAAUUGUAUGAAGUUGCCAUUACCAAUAUGAGUUAAGUCGUCCUACACACGUCAUAAUCUAUUUUGUUGGGAAGCACCAAAUGGAAGUGAGAUAUGAACAGGAAAAACCAAACGUUUUUCACAGUUUAUAAUGACUGGCCGGUUAUACACACGUGCUUAAAGCUGAGUGAUGAAGUUAUUUGUGGAUAACAUUGGUCAAAGCAUUAUUCAUUUAUAAGCAUGUAACAAUCUGUUAGAGUGGAACUGGUGUGAACUUGAAAUUCCAUUUAACUCCUUACGACUCUUAACUGUAAUAAAUUAGGGCAUGAGUUUCAAUGAUCUUUAUCAUUUCUCAUGGGGGCAUCUCCCACUAACAAAAGUCAAUUUGUUACUUUUAAAUGGAUCAUUAUUUAAAGAAACGGGUACAUCCCUUACUGGUCGGUUAAAGUGAGUAAAUAUUAGGUGAACAAAAUUACCUAUUUGGUCGUCAUCAUCUUACUUGUUCACCACUCCUGGCAUCUUUGGCGUACAAUGAUAGCGUCAAAAAUAAUGUUAGUCAACAUAAUAAUGCAAUGACCCAACUCCAAGAGGAUAAUGAAGAACGAAAAAUUACAAGGAAAAAAUGUAUGAAGUUACUAAUUUGAGUUAAGUCAUCCUGAAUAUGUCAUCAUCUGCCACUAGCAAAAGACAAUCUGUUAAUUUUAUAUGGAUCCUUAUUUAAAGAAACGGGUACUUCCCUUACUGGGCGGUUAAAGUUAGUAAAUAUUAGGUGAACAAUAUUACGUAUUUCGCCGAUAUCAUCUUACUUGCUCACCACUUAUGGCAUCUUUAGCGUACAAUGCUAGUCACAAAAAUAAUGUUAGUCAACAUAAUAAUUCAAUGACCCAACUCCAAGAGAAUAAUUACUGAAGAAAAAUUGAAGACGAAAAGUGUAUGAAGUUACCAUUACCAAUAUGAGUUAAGUCGUCCUACACACGUCAUAAUCUAUUUUAUUGGGAAGCACCGAAUGGAAGUGAGACAUGAACAGGAAAAACCAAACGUUUUUCACAGUUUAUAAUGACUGGCCGGUUAUACACACGUGCUUAAAGCUGAGUGAUGAAGUUAUUUGUGGAUAACAUUGGUCAAAGCAUUAUUCAUUUAUAAGCAUGUAACAAUUUGUUAGAGUGGAACUGGUGUGAACUUGAAAUUCCAUUUAACUCCUUACGGCUCUUAACUGUAAUAAAUUAGGGCAUGAGUUUCAAUGAUCUUUAUCAUUUCUCAUGGGGGCAUCUCCCAUUAACAAAAGUCAAUUUGUUACUUUUAAAUGGAUCAUUAUUUAAAGAAACGGGUACAUCCCUUACUGGCCGGUUAAAGUGAGUAAAUAUUAGGUGAACAAAAUUACCUAUUUGGUCGUCAUCAUCUUACUUGUUCACCACUCCUGGCAUCUUUGGCGUACAAUGAUAGCGUCAAAAAUAAUGUUAGUCAACAUAAUAAUGCAAUGACCCAACUCAAAGAGAAUAAUGAAAAACGAAAAAUUACAAGGAAAAAAUGUAUGAAGUUACUAAUUUGAGUUAAGUCAUCCUGAAUAUGUUAUCAUCUGCCACUAACAAAAGACAAUCUGUUACUUUUAUAUGGAUCCUUAUUUAAAGAAACAGGUACUUCCCUUACUGGGCGGUUAAAGUUAGCAACUAUUAGGUGAACAAUAUUACGUAUUUCGCCGAUAUCAUCUUACUUGCUCACCACUCCUGGCAUCUUUAGCGUACAACGCUAAUCACAAAAAUAAUGUUAGUCAACAUAAUAAUGCAAUGACCCAACUCCAAGAGAAUAAUGACUGAAGAAAAAUUGAAGACGAAAAGUGUAUGAAGUUACCAAUUUGAGUUAAGUCAUCAUGCACACGUCAUCAUCUAUUUUGAUGGGAAGCACCGAAUGGAAGUAAGAAAUGAACAGGAAAAACCAAACUUUUUUCACAGUUUAUAAUGACUGGCCGGUUAUACACACGUGCUUAAAGUUGAGUAAUGAAGUUAUUUGUGGCUAAUAUUUGUCAAAGCAUUAUUCAUUUAUAAGUAUGUAACAAUUUAUUGGAUUGUAACUGGUGUGAACUUAAAAUUCUAUUUAACUCCUUACUGUGGUUAACUGUAAUGGAUUAGGGCAUGAAUUUCAAUGAUAUUUAUAAUUUCUUAUGAAGGCAUCUCUCACUAACAAAAGCUACUCUCUUGAUUUUAAAUGGAUUCUUAUUUAAAAAAAUGGGUACUUCCCUUGUUGGAUAGUUAAAGUUAGUAAAUAUUAGGUGAACAAUAUUACAUAUUUCACCGACAUCAUCUUACUUGCUCACCACUCCUGACAUCUUGGCGUACAACGCUAGUUACAAAAAUAAUGUUAGUCAACAUAAUAAUGCAAUGACCCAACUCUAAGAGAAUAAUGACUGAAGAAAAAUUGAAGGUGAAAAGUGUAUGAAGUUACAAAUUUUAGUUAAGUCAUCCUGCACAUGUCAUCAUCCAUUUUGUUGGGAAACACCGAAUGGAAGUAAGAAAUGAACAGGAAAAACCAAACGCUUUUCACAGUUUAUAAUGAUUGGCCGGUUAUACACACGUUCUUAAAGCUGAGUGAUGAAGUUAUUUGUGGAUAGCAUUGGUCAAAGCAUUAUUCAUUUAUAAGCAUGUAACAAUCUGUUGGAGUGGAACUGGUGUGAACUUAAAAUUUUAUUUAACUCCUUACGGUUCUUAACUAUAAUGCAUUAGGGCAUGAGUUUCAGUGAUAUUUAUCAUUUCUUAUGAGGGCAUUUCCCAUUAACAAAAGCUACUCUCUUGCUUUUAAAUGAGUUCUUAUUUAAAAAAAUGUGUACUUCCUUUACUAGUCAGUUAAAGUUAGCAAAUAUUAGGUGAACAAUAUUAUGUAUUUUGCCGACAUCAUCUCACUUGCUCACCAUUCCUAGCAUCUUUGGCGUGCAACGCUAGUCACAAAAAUAAUGUUAGUUAACAUAAUAAUGCAAUGACCCAACUAUAAGAGAAUAAUAAAUGAAGAAAAAAUUAAAGGCGAAAAGUGUAUGAAGUUACCAAUUUGAGUUAAGUCAUCCUACAAAUGUUAUCAUCCAUUUUGUUGGGAAGCACCAAAUGGAAGUAAGAAAUGAACAGGAAAAACCAAACAUUUUUCACAAUUUAUAAUGACUGGCCGGUCAUACACACGUGCUUAAAGCUGAGUGAUGAAGUUAUUUGUGGCUAGCAUUGGUCAAAGCAUUAAUCAUUUAUAAGUAUGUAACAAUAUGUUGGAUUGGAACUAGUGUGAACUUGAAAUUCUAUUUAACUCUUUACGAUUCUUAACUGUAAUGGAUUAGGGCAUGAGUUUCAAUGAUAUUUAUCAUUUCUUAUCAAGGCAUCUCCCACUAACAAAAGUCAAUCCGCUACUUUUAAAUGGAUUCUUAUUUAAAGAAACGGGUACUUCCCUUGCUGGCUAUCUGAAACUCAUAGUUUGAUUAAAUAUUAAUAUGCUAUCAUGUUUAUCUGAUAUAUAAAAACUCUAUCACAAAUCUAUCAUGGCUUUAUGAUGUAUGAAAAUUAUGUCACGUGUCUAUCAUAUUCUUGUAAUAAAUGACUAAUUUUCUAAUAUCUAUCACAAAAAUUCUGUCAUGGUAGCUCAUUUUGCUAGUAGUGAGAAAUACUGCAAGCCUUCUUUUUAUUAAAACAUACAUUAUAAUUCAUAAAUUUCAUAAAAUGACAUAAAUUCAUAGUAAUUUAGUAUAUCAAAAGCAUAGUUAAUCAUAAAAGCAAAUGGUAUAGCAUAUAUGCAGAAAAUAAGAAGUUAGCUCAUGUCACAUAGUGUUACCUAUACUCCCGGUGACCCGGCCAGAAACAGAAUUAGAAUCAGAAUAUCAUGUGCACACUCAAAACAAAAACUCAAUACUAGUCCAGAACAUAUAUGUAUACAGAAUCAGAAUAACUAUGGACAAUGAGCCAAAACAUUCAAAUUAAUUUUUCAUAUGUAAUGAUUUGUAUGUGGCACUUCACGACGCUCUGGCUCUCGAGAGGUGACCCCCCUAUAAUCUCAAGAGGUGGGUUCGUAUAAUCAUAAAUAAUAUCAAAUCGUACAUGGGCACAAAACAUUUGUAUCAAAUUCACAAAUGUCCAUAACAAUAAUUUAGGCUUGCAAAAUAUUUUAUAGAAAAAAUCGUAAAAGGUAAUCAUGUAAUAAAAUUAAUUACAUAUUUAAAAGCAUUUAUAAUAGUUUGUAAAAAAAUAAAAAUAACAUAAUUUUCAUAUUUGAAAACAUUUACAUAAACUAAUUUUGUUAUAAAAAUCAAUUAAUCUUUUAAGUAGUAUAAAAACAUUUAUACUUAUAAUAAUAUAAAAAAUAAUCAUACAUAUUCAGUACAUUAUGAAUGAAGUUACUUACCUCGAUAAAAGAAUUGAUCUAACACACCUCUAAGCCUCUAAGAGCCUCAAACUCCUCCAACACCUUAAACAAAUACAAGAUACAAUUAUUACGAACUUAUUUUAAGAACUUGAUUUUCGAGUUCGUACUCGUAUAAGUCUAAUUCUCAGAAUUUUAAUUCUUAAUCUAAAAAUCAUAAUGACACAAUAUUUUACAUAACUGUUCUAAACCUUCAUAUGUAUCUCAUGUAAAAUUUUCAAGAAGAUCUGAUACCAAAAACAUUUUCAAAACUAUUUGUUUCUUGACAGAUUCGAAAUUGUUUCAUAGUGUCUUAACUAAACAGAACAUGUUCCGAGAUUUUUAUAAAAUCAUAAAUAAAUAAAAAACUUAUGACAUUAAAACUAGGAAUACUAGACACAUAUACAAAUCUUUUUUAAAAAAUUUCGGAAUUUUUUUAAUUCGUUUGGUACUACAAAUAAUUUUGUGAAAUUUGUCAUUCUACUGAAGUUGUAGUUUUACAGUGCAAUAGUAUCUGUUUUGAAAAUACAUAUACAAUUGAAAACAAAUCAAAUAUCAUGAAAAAAAAAUUCAAUAAGCCCUACAAGUCUAGUUUUUAGAAAAAUAAGGUUCUUAGGAAGAAUCAUUCAUCAAACAUAUGUUUAAUUUCGAGAUAUUGAUACUAUCUAAAAUUGUCUAGUGUGUUUAUUGUAUUAACGAUUGAUUAAUAAGACUCAACAAUAAAUCAAAGCCUUAAACAGAACUUUAACACAUCCUAAAUCAUGCAUAAUGGUCUGUAACAAUCUAAAACAAUGUCAAUAAAACCCUUAAUAGAGUGAUAGGAAAACUUGUGGAGAAUAAAGAGAGUAAAACUUACCAACUGUUAAGAUUUUCUUCUAAGUAAAGAAUCCUAGGGUAUGAGUAAGAGAAUAAUGAACAGCAGAGAAAAAUAGAAGAAAACGUUGUGGACUUAGGGUUAUGGAAUAAGGAAAAGUAUGAAUUUAUAAAGAGUUUUGAAAUAAACCUUAUUAAAUUUGGAAAAGUAAGUCUUUUCUAAAAUUAUCCCAUGAAUAGUCUUAUUAAUAAGGGAAGGAAAUUUCUUCACGUAAGAGUCCUUCUCCUCUCAUAAUUCUUUUUUUUUUUCCUUCAAAAGCAAAGUUUUUGGUGUUACACUAAUGUUGCCUUUCUUAAUGCUGACCAUGACAAACUUUUAAUAGAUGCUUAAAGGUAGAUAGGAGCCUCUAUUGAUGUAUUAGUUGAUUAGAAUACAUCUUGAUUUGUCUGUCAAAAGUAAAAAUUUUGCUGGAAUGAAUUAAUAUUUAGUGUGCUGUGUUUGUGUUUUACUUAAAUUGAGAUUGCUUCUUUUGCUAUAUAUGUUAUAAAGUGUGGCUGUCAGGAUAUUCAGCCUUUGGUUUAUUUGUUUGCUUGUGAUAUUUUGGUGCAAAAUCUACUAGCUAAUGUUUAAGUUUGCUUAUUAUGAAAAUUUAUGGGAAGCAUUGGCUUAGUUUUUAUAUCCUAACUUUAAGUUGGUAAACUGACCUUUGUUUAGGAUUAUACAAUAUUUGUUAUUUAUGUAUAUAUAUUUGUGUUAUAUUGUUUGAAUAGAGUCUGAGAUGAGAAAAAUUCUUUCAUUUUAGUUUUUUAAGUUUAGUACCUUAGUUUUUAUAUUCUAACUUUAAGUUAGUAAGCUGAGCUUUGUUUAGGAUUAUACAAUGUUUAUUAU